This 782-nucleotide ribosomal RNA is filed under the name fungal endophyte. RNAcentral describes it as "eukaryotic LSU rRNA". The stretch from base 509 to 782 matches the Rfam family "Eukaryotic large subunit ribosomal RNA", at positions 1 to 270 of the family's 3401-position model. The record is from RNAcentral. Lineage: Eukaryota; Fungi.
GCGGAAGGUCAUUACCGAGUGAGGGCCCUCUGGGUCCAACCUCCCACCCGUGUUUAUUUUACCUUGUUGCUUCGGCGAGCCUGCCUUUUGGCUGCCGGGGGACGUCUGUCCCCGGGUCCGCGCUCGCCGAAGACACCUUAGAACUCUGUCUGAAGAUUGUAGUCUGAGAUUAAAUAUAAAUUAUUUAAAACUUUCAACAACGGAUCUCUUGGUUCCGGCAUCGAUGAAGAACGCAGCGAAAUGCGAUACGUAAUGUGAAUUGCAGAAUUCAGUGAAUCAUCGAGUCUUUGAACGCACAUUGCGCCCUCUGGUAUUCCGGAGGGCAUGCCUGUCCGAGCGUCAUUGCUGCCCUCAAGCACGGCUUGUGUGUUGGGCUCCGUCCUCCUUCCGGGGGACGGGCCCGAAAGGCAGCGGCGGCACCGCGUCCGGUCCUCAAGCGUAUGGGGCUUUGUCACCCGCUUUGUAGGACUGGCCGGCGCCUGCCGAUCAACCAAACUUUUUUCCAGGUUGACCUCGGAUCAGGUAGGGAUACCCGCUGAACUUAAGCAUAUCAAUAAGCGGAGGAAAAGAAACCAACAGGGAUUGCCCCAGUAACGGCGAGUGAAGCGGCAAGAGCUCAAAUUUGAAAGCUGGCUCCUUCGGGGUCCGCAUUGUAAUUUGCAGAGGAUGCUUCGGGAGCGGUCCCCAUCUAAGUGCCCUGGAACGGGACGUCAUAGAGGGUGAGAAUCCCGUAUGGGGAUGGGGUGUCCGCGCCCGUGUGAAGCUCCUUCGACGAGUCGAGU